This 250-nucleotide ribosomal RNA is filed under the name uncultured bacterium. RNAcentral describes it as "partial 16S ribosomal RNA". It matches the Rfam family "Bacterial small subunit ribosomal RNA", at positions 524 to 773 of the family's 1533-position model. The record is from RNAcentral.
GACAGAGGGUGCAAACGUUGUUCGGAAUUACUGGGCGUAAAGCGCGUGUAGGCUGCUUGGAAAGUCGGGUGUGAAAGCCCUGGGCUCAACCCAGGAAGUGCACUCGAAACUCCCGAGCUCGAGGACCGGAGAGGAAGGCGGAAUUCUCGGUGUAGAGGUGAAAUUCGUAGAUAUCGAGAGGAACACCUGUGGCGAAGGCGGCCUUCUGGACGGUUACUGACGCUGAGACGCGAAAGCGUGGGGAGCAAAC